AGUGGGGAAUCUUGCGCAAUGGGCGAAAGCCUGACGCAGCGACGCCGCGUGGGCGAAGAAGGCCUUCGGGUUGUAAAGCCCUGUGGGGGAGAACGAACUGGGUGGGGGCGAAUACCUCUCAUCCUUGACGGUACUCCUUUAGCAAGCAUCGGCUAACUCUGUGCCAGCAGCCGCGGUAAGACAGAGGAUGCAAACGUUGCUCGGAAUUACUGGGCGUAAAGCGCGUGUAGGCGGUCUGGUAAGUCGGACGUGAAAGCCCGGGGCUCAACCCCGGAAGCGCGCUCGAUACUGCUUGACUGGGGUCCUGAAGAGGAGAGCGGAAUUCCCGGUGUAGAGGUGAAAUUCGUAGAUAUCGGGAGGAACACCAGUGGCGAAGGCGGCUCUCUGGGCAGGUACCGACGCUGAGACGCGAAAGCGUGGGAAGCAAA
Molecule: ribosomal RNA, 428 nt
Filed under: uncultured Myxococcales bacterium
Lineage: Bacteria; Pseudomonadati; Myxococcota; Myxococcia; Myxococcales
Description: bacterial SSU rRNA
Rfam family: Bacterial small subunit ribosomal RNA
Source: RNAcentral